Molecule: ribosomal RNA, 781 nt
Filed under: uncultured Neocallimastigales
Lineage: Eukaryota; Fungi; Neocallimastigomycota; Neocallimastigomycetes; Neocallimastigales
Description: partial large subunit ribosomal RNA
Rfam family: Eukaryotic large subunit ribosomal RNA
Source: RNAcentral
AGAGAUGUGUGAUGACGCAUAUCAAUAAGCGGAGGAAAAGAAACUAACAAGGAUUCCCUUAGUAACGGCGAGUGAAGCGGGAAGAGCUCAAAUUUGAAAUCUUCAAGGUUCUACCUUGACGAAUUGUAGUUUAUAGAAGUGUUUUCUGUUAGUAGGAGUGGCAAAAGUUCUUUGGAAUAGGACAUCAUAGAGGGUGAGAAUCCCGUAUUUGGUCAUUCCUCCUAGCGCUGUGAUACACUUUCAACGAGUCGGAUUGUUUGGGAAUGCAGUCCAAAAUGGGUGGUAAAUUUCAUCUAAAGCUAAAUAUUGGCGAGAGACCGAUAGCGAACAAGUACCGUGAGGGAAAGAUGAAAAGAACUUUGAAAAGAGAGUUAAACAGUACGUGAAAUUGUCAAAAGGGAAGCGUUUGACACCAGUGUUGUUUUUCUCGAAAAUCAAUUAACGAAUGUUUUGUUUUUGAGAAGUUAUGACUUCAUCGGCUUGCUUCUCUCUUUACGAACUUUCUUAAUGCACUUUCGGUUAACAAGUCAACAUCAAUUUCUUUUGUUGUAAAAGGGUAUGAGGAAGGUGGCUUUCCUUUCGGAGAAAGUGUUUAUAGCCUUGUAGCCUUCUGCAAUCGGAGAGAUUGAGGUCUGCAGCGUAGAUCCUUCGGGGUUAGAUACAGUUAGUGCUAAGUUAUAGCUUUUUCAUAGACAACUUGUUGACUAUGUUAAGUCUUGUAGCUUACUCGCUUAUGGCUAUUUUACCUACGCUUAGGAUGUUGACGAUCAGCUGAGCGCGC